AACGAACGCUGGCGGCGCGCCUAAUACAUGCAAGUCGAGCGAGAAGACGUAGCAAUACGUUUGUAAAGCGGCGAACGGGUGAGGAAUACAUGGGUAACCUACCCUCGAGUGGGGAAUAACUAGCCGAAAGGUUAGCUAAUACCGCGUACGCUCCUUGGACUUCGGUUCAGGGAGGAAAGCGAUACCGUGGGUAUCGCGCUCUUGGAUGGGCUCAUGUCCUAUCAGCUUGUUGGUGAGGAACGGCUCACCAAGGCUUCGACGGGUAGCUGGUCUGAGAGGACAAUCAGCCACACUGGCACUGCGACACGGGCCAGACUCCUACGGGAGGCAGCAGUAAGGAAUAUUGCGCAAUGGGCGAAAGCCUGACGCAGCGACGCCGCGU
This 382-nucleotide ribosomal RNA is filed under the name uncultured bacterium. RNAcentral's name for it is "bacterial SSU rRNA". It matches the Rfam family "Bacterial small subunit ribosomal RNA", at positions 29 to 402 of the family's 1533-position model. The record is from RNAcentral.